RNAcentral lists this ribosomal RNA (79 nucleotides) under Conus aulicus. RNAcentral describes it as "partial 28S ribosomal RNA". The stretch from base 23 to 79 matches the Rfam family "Eukaryotic large subunit ribosomal RNA", at positions 1 to 57 of the family's 3401-position model. Lineage: Eukaryota; Metazoa; Mollusca; Gastropoda; Neogastropoda; Conidae. The record is from RNAcentral.
UCCGACCGUUUGUUCCUUUUUCCGACCUCAGAUCGGACGAGAUUACCCGCUGAAUUUAAGCAUAUCACUAAGCGGAGAA